UACGUAGGCAGCAAGCGUUGUUCGGAGUUACUGGGCGUAAAGGGUGUGUAGGCGGUCCUCUAAGUUUGGUGUGAAAUCUCCCGGCUCAACUGGGAGGGUGCGCCGAAAACUGGAGGGCUAGAGUACUGGAUGGGAGAGUGGAAUUCCUGGUGUAGCGGUGAAAUGCGUAGAUAUCAGGAGGAACACCUGUGGUGUAGACGGCUCUCUGGACAGUAACUGACGCUGAGACACGAAAGCGUGGGUAGCAAACAGGAUUAGAUACCCUGGUAGUCCACGCCCUAAACGAUGCAUACUUGGUGUGGGUCAUUCAUUUGAUCCGUGCCGGAGCUAACGCGUUAAGUAUGCCGCCUGGGGAGUACGGUCGCAAGGCUGAA
RNAcentral lists this ribosomal RNA (374 nucleotides) under uncultured bacterium. RNAcentral's name for it is "bacterial SSU rRNA". It matches the Rfam family "Bacterial small subunit ribosomal RNA", at positions 524 to 898 of the family's 1533-position model. The record is from RNAcentral.